This is a long non-coding RNA of Armigeres subalbatus, 483 nucleotides long. RefSeq lists it as uncharacterized. The record is from RefSeq and is a predicted model, not a curated record. The transcript is spliced from 3 exons. Lineage: Eukaryota; Metazoa; Arthropoda; Insecta; Diptera; Culicidae.
CUACCAUAUCGGCCUAUUUUUGCACCGACGACGUCGAUUGACGUAGACUACAUAUUUUCGUCGCCAGAUUUGUUGAACAAUUAAGUCGCCUGCAAUAGUUACCUAUUUUAUCGGUAAAAUAAUCGAUUGAUUAUGUAUUUGGUGCUAAUUUUGAUCAUCUGAUUAAUGAACAGACGAAAUCGGAUCCCUGUGAUCAGAAACGUAAAAGGAAGAAAAAGCAUUCAUGAAGACUGGUUUUCCGGAAAUAAUCAAGAAUUAUGAAGUUUGAAACGACACCGUUUGACCACAAAGUGCUCAUACACCCGGAUCUGGUGCCAUCUAUGAAAGUAUGGACAGUCCCAGAACUAUCAUGCAGCCCACCCAUUUACUAAAUCGAUUAAGUAUCCUAUUUCAUCUGAUGUCAUGAUUUUUUACACCAAUCAAUUUAUAGAUUUCUUCUGAUUAGCUUCACGAUGAAAUUCAAUAAACCGAUUAAACACUCAA